UGCUAGAUUAAUGUCUAAAGCUUGA
Molecule: non-coding RNA, 25 nt
Filed under: Rattus norvegicus (Norway rat)
Lineage: Eukaryota; Metazoa; Chordata; Mammalia; Rodentia; Muridae
Source: RNAcentral